Molecule: unclassified non-coding RNA, 521 nt
Filed under: Hevea brasiliensis (rubber tree)
Lineage: Eukaryota; Viridiplantae; Streptophyta; Magnoliopsida; Malpighiales; Euphorbiaceae
Source: RNAcentral
GCUGGAUGUUAUUCCUUGUAAAAGAAAAUCUCUUCCUAUAGGCAAGCUCAUUAAAUAUGCUCAUGCUAAUCUACCUUGACAUACAAUAAUAAGUUCUCAAAACUCCACUGACAAAAUCAGUUGAAAAUUGAGGUUGUCCAAUAUGAAGCACAUUUAUUACCAGAAACUAAAGUUACUGAUAUUUCCAGUAAAAUUCAUCAUAUCUCUUUCUAUUUUCUUUUUAUUCGUUUUAUUCCUAAAUAACUCCUACAGAAUUAGAUGGGGCUAGUAAGUAGAAGUGAUGCAGAAUUUGUUCUACAUCAAUAAGAGAGCAUGGAUUUUCAUGAAUGGCCAUGCAAUACAAAUUAUGGAUUCACCAUCCAGACAAAUCAAUGUAAUUAAAGCUUGGAGGAUGCAAGAUAAUUGCACAUGAGAAAAAGGACUCGAUUGAAGUAGCAACAACAAUAACAAGUAGCACAUAAUUUAGAAAUGGGAAAAAGAACAGAAAUAAGCUAUAAACAAUAGGAAUAGCAACGGAGCGG